AUGCCGGGGAGCUGGCUCAGAGACAGCCACCGGGAGGGACGAGCCAGCCCUCCUCUCCUCGCCUCUCCUCUCCCCGAGCCGCUGCCACACUUGGUUCAUUCCAGCUGCAGAAGCUCAGAGCCUUCCAUGCGCCGAGCUGAGGACUAUCCCAAUCGCAAAGGGGGAGAAAAAAGGGGGAAAACCCAACAACAACAAGCAACCCCCAGCACACCCCAUUCCUGCCACCCUUUGACAUGCAACCUGCCUUGGGAUGGGACAAGCUGGGAUGCAGCUGCAGCCUUGGAAGGAAUUGGGGGAAAUUGGGGAUCUUUGCUCUCAUGACGGUGGAAGUGAGCUCCUGGAGCCGGGUGCUGCUGCUCUCCGUGGGGCUGCUGGCUGUCUCAGCGACCGGUAAGUGUCAUGGAGAAAGCUGGCAACUUUGGGACUAUUUGCCUUCCUGCUGCUUAGAUCCAGGGACCACUGUUAAUCCGCUUUCCUGGGGACUCUGGGGUGUGUGUAUGUGUGUACUUGUAUGUCAGCACAUGCUUCCCUGUAGUGUUCAAUAAGGAGUGGAUUUUCCUCAGACCUUUCUGCGAGAUAGUUUGCCUCAGUCCUUUGGGAGCAACAAUUUUAAAUGAUACGGUUAUAAUAGGUGGCUCUAUUUGUUUUUAUUUCUCCUUCUGGUGGCUCAAAUAUCGUGUGCUCACUUGCCAGACAAUGUGCAAGAUGACUGAAAAAUGCCAUCACGGUUCCCCCUCUGUCUUUCCCUUGCAUCUUAAUUCAUUAUUUCACUACCCUGCUAUUUGGCUGUAGCUGAUAUAAUAGGUUUAGGACUCCUUGCACGAAGAUGGAAGCACUCUCCUCUUAUUCUUCCUGCAUUUCAAGUUGAUGUGCUCUUAUAGAUGAGCUCCUCAGUCUCAGCAUCUUGAUUUUUGUGAAAAUGUUUAUUGACUUGGAAGACAGAGACUUGAAUUUGGAGGAGGGGGCGGGGGGGGGAAUUUGCUUACGUCUCCUCCCUGGUUUCUGCAAUUGACCUUGUAGCAAAAGCAUAUCUAAGGACUGAAGUUUAUUUCUGGUGUAAACAGCAAAUAUUUAGGGACUGUCCUUAUAUGAGCGAG
RNAcentral lists this long non-coding RNA (1097 nucleotides) under Anas zonorhyncha (Eastern spot-billed duck). RNAcentral describes it as "lncRNA (ENSAZOG00000007563.1)". Lineage: Eukaryota; Metazoa; Chordata; Aves; Anseriformes; Anatidae. The record is from RNAcentral.